UGAAACAUCUAAGUACCCGGAGGAAAGGAAAUCAAUAUGAUACUCCCCUAGUAGCGGCGAGCGAACGGGGACCAGCCAAGCCAUGAGAGUGACCAGAAUGUGCUGGAAAGCACAGCCAUAGCGGGUGACAGCCCCGUACGAGAAGCUCGAUGGGACGUAUUAAGUAGGGCGGGACACGUGAAAUCCUGUCUGAAGAUCGGAGGACCA
RNAcentral lists this ribosomal RNA (207 nucleotides) under Alexandrium margalefii. RNAcentral's name for it is "partial Bacterial large subunit ribosomal RNA". It matches the Rfam family "Bacterial large subunit ribosomal RNA", at positions 194 to 455 of the family's 2925-position model. Lineage: Eukaryota; Dinophyceae; Gonyaulacales; Pyrocystaceae. The record is from RNAcentral.